UACGAAGGGUGCAAACGUUGCUCGGAAUUAUUGGGCGUAAAGCGCACGUAGGCGGUAUUGCAAGUCGGAUGUGAAAUCCCUCAGCUCAACUGAGGAAGUGCAUCCGAAACUGCAAGGCUUGAGUACUGAAGAGGAUCGCGGAAUUCCCGGUGUAGAGGUGAAAUUCGUAGAUAUCGGGAGGAACACCAGUGGCGAAGGCGGCGAUCUGGGCAGAUACUGACGCUGAGGUGCGAAAGCGUGGGGAGCAAACAGG
Molecule: ribosomal RNA, 253 nt
Filed under: uncultured bacterium
Lineage: Bacteria
Description: partial 16S ribosomal RNA
Rfam family: Bacterial small subunit ribosomal RNA
Source: RNAcentral